This is an RNA transcript of Cuculus canorus (common cuckoo), 15150 nucleotides long. It is a transcript of the gene named neuropilin and tolloid like 1, with no coding region annotated. The transcript is spliced from 12 exons. The record is from RefSeq and is a predicted model, not a curated record. NCBI's taxonomy places the organism in Eukaryota, Metazoa, Chordata, Aves, Cuculiformes, Cuculidae.
CUGCGGCCGGAGGAUUAGCAGCUAAACUUUUAUUGCUUCCUUUUGUGCGUGUGUAUAUGUGCGUGUGCGCUCCCGUGUGGGUGUGCGCGCGUGUAUGGGUGGGUGUGUAAAUGGAGAGCUCGCCUUUGAAUUGGGAAAAGCUUUUCCAUUUCCCUUUGGCAGGUGCCGUUCAAGGAGGAGAGGAACUCACGAGCGGUUUGUCUGAUCCAUGAACUGAUUAGGGGAGGGGAAAUUAUCCCUCUCCUCUUACUCUUCCUUUCCCAGUUUUGAAAUCAUUCUUUCCCCACCACCACCACCCCCUGCCCGUCCUUCCUCCCCGCUUCCCUCUCCCCUGAAUGAAUGGAAGAGUCUCCAGGGUUUUCUUCUGCUUCUCGCCCUGGACUGGAGCAGUGAGUGGGACAUCUCUCUAUCCUCAUCCAUCUCAAUCUCGCUCCAUCCAUUCCCGAGAGGAUCUCAGACGGUUGCAAUGUGUUUUCAUCCUCUUGCCGCUGCUACCACUUGAUACUAUGCUACGCGCAGGGAAAGGGUUUCGCAAAAAUGGAUUUGUUCGAUUUUAAGGGAUUUCUUCUCUAAUAAGGAUCACAUUGCACACAAAUAUGACUAAAUCCCCUAUUUGGUAAAUCUUUCUUCCCCUCACCCCUCCUCUCUGGGUUCCCUCCUGCCCGCCCCCACCCCUUCAGAGGAGCAAGCACAGGGAGCUGAUGACGGACCCAUUAAUCCCUUCUUCAAUGCAUCAAAAGAAGCCGAAGGGCUGGAAGUCGCUGGGCUCGGAGUCCUGCAGGAAAUGCUUCGAUCUUCUUUUGGUUCUGUAUGAAACUGGUGACUAGGGGGCUCGGCUCGCCCCGCCGGCACCUGGAUGCUCGGGCCGCCGCGAUGCAGCGCUGACGGUCGUGCCGGUGAGAGCCCGGCUGCGAUGGGAUUGAGCAGGCUGUGAUUAGUUGAAGGCAAAGCGAGCCAGAGGAAGGGCUGCUCCGCUCUGCUGUGUGUGGGCUUCGGGUUUUUGGGUUUUUUUCCUUUCUUUUUUUUUUUUUUUUCUUUCUUCUUUCCUACUUCCAUCCUCUCCCCGCCACUGGAAGUCCUCCCGUAUCUAAAUGGAAUUAGUGGAGACCGAAGCCCCUUGUGUAAGGAACAGACAUGACCCAUGGGCGCAGCUUCUUUCACAUUGUAGCAAGUCUAAUCAUCCUACAUUUUUCUGGGGCAACCAAAAAAGGAACAGAAAAGCAAACUGCUUCCGAAGGACAGAAACCAGUGCAAUGUGGAACUUGGACAAAAUAUGCAGAAGGAGGCUUCUUCACUUCUCCCAAUUAUCCCAACAAGUACCCUCCUGACAGAGAGUGUGUCUACAUUAUAGAAGCUGCCCCUAGACAAUGCAUUGAACUACACUUUGAUGAAAAAUAUUCCAUAGAACCUUCUUGGGAGUGUAAAUUUGACCAUAUUGAAGUACGAGAUGGACCUUUUGGCUUUUCCCCAAUCAUUGGACGUUUCUGUGGACAGCAAAAUCCACCUAUGAUAAAAUCCAGUGGCAGAUUCCUAUGGAUUAAAUUUUUUGCUGAUGGUGAGCUGGAAUCUAUUGGGUUUUCUGCUCGGUAUAAUUUUACACCUGAUCCAGAUUUUAAGGACCUUGGCGCUUUGAAACCAUUGCCAGUUUGUGAGUUUGAAAUGGGAGGACCUGAAGGAAUUGUGGAAUCUAUACAAAUUGUCAAAGAAGGAAAAGCUUCUGAAACUGAAGCAGUAGACUGUAAAUGGUACAUCCGAGCACCACCCCGAUCCAAGAUUUAUUUGCGAUUCUUGGACUAUGAAAUGCAGAAUUCCAAUGAAUGCAAAAGGAAUUUUGUAGCUGUCUAUGAUGGAAGCAGCUCUGUGGAGGACUUGAAAGCAAAGUUUUGCAGCACUGUUGCUAAUGAUGUAAUGCUGCGGACAGGUCUUGGUGUAAUCCGCAUGUGGGCAGAUGAAGGCAGUCGAAACAGCCGAUUCCAGAUGCUCUUCACAUCUUUCCAAGAACCCCCUUGUGAAGCCAACACAUUCUUUUGCCACAGUAAUAUGUGUAUUAAUAAUACAUUGGUCUGCAAUGGACUGCAGAAUUGUGUGUAUCCUUGGGAUGAAAACCACUGCAAAGAAAAGAGAAAAGCGAACCUAUUGGACCAACUUACCAAUACCAGCGGGACUAUAAUUGGGGUGACUUCUUGCAUUGUGAUCAUCCUCAUUGUUGUCUCUGUUAUAGUACAGAUCAAGCAGCCUCGUAAAAAAUUUGUCCAAAGGAAAACAGACUUUGAUCAAACAGUGUUCCAGGAGGUGUUUGAGCCUCCUCAUUAUGAGUUAUGCACCCUCAGAGGGACAGGGCCUACAGCUGACCUUGCUGAUGUUGCAGAUGACUUUGAAAAUUAUCAUAAACUGCGGAGAUCAUCUUCAAAAUGCAUUCAUGACCAUCACUGUGGAUCACAAGUGUCUAGCAUUAAGGGCAGCCGUAGUAACCUCAGCACAAGAGAUGCUUCUGUCUUGACAGAAAUACAACCCCAGCCUGUAAAACCACUCAUCCAGCCCAUGAACAGGAGAAAUAUCCUUGUCAUGAAACAUAGCUACUCACAAGAUGCUGCAGAUGCGUGUGAGAUAGACGAAAUUGAAGAGGUACCAACCACAAGUCACAGGCUGUCCAGACAUGAUAAAGCUGUUCAGCGCCAUAACAUUCCAGGUUCUGCCUCAUUGGGUCUCUAAGCAAACAUGAGUCUGAGUACAACACAACUAGGGUCUAAGAGACAAACUCGAGACUGCUUGAGAAUAGUGCACUCCUGGGUGAUUUUGAACAUGCUACAAUGAAAUAUGAAAAUAUCGUCCUUGGAAACACCAGCUAGAGGUUUUAUGGACUCUCUGACCAGCUAUUCUCAUAUCAUGACAAAAUUCAGCAGUGUUGAGUAAAAUUACUAGAAGGCAAUAAGACUUUGGUUAUUAUGCUUAUCGGUCAUUUCUCUUUUCUUUUUCUCUCUUCUUUUGUUUGCAAGUUAAAUUCCCAGUUUCAGGAACAAUUUAUUAAAAUCAGGUAUUUAGCCAUUCAUAAUCACUUCAAUAGAAAUGUUUGUUGGAUAAGCAUCUAGCAAUAUGACUGAAUUUGACAUUGAGAAAAUAAUCUGCAUGUAUGUUACUGAAUAUUUGAGUUGGCAAAUAUCCCUUGAUUAGAUACAUUGUAAAAAGCAUGCAUCCACAAUUAUUGCUGUUACUGUUCCAUUUCUGUGUCAUAUGCUUGCUACUUGUAACUUUUUAUAUAAAGGUACAUAAAAAAAUGUAUAAUAAUUUCUUACCUUGAGUUUAAUGGCAAUGUUUUCUUUUACCAAAUUUACAAAUCUCAUGUAAUUUGAGAGAUUAAGCUCAAAAUGUAGCUUCCAGGAACUCAAAACCCAGAUAUAUCAAAGAAUCAGCUCUCAUCCCCCACUUAUUGAAAAGCAAAAUACAUUAAUUUCUUAAGAUUUAAAUGAAUUCCUAAUACAUAUAGUUGAUCAUCUAAUUGCAAUUAAAAGGUUUGUGAUAACCUUUGUGUUCAGCUCUGUGCUCUUAAUUUAUUUCCAUGGCAAUUACUAGGCAGUUUCCUUCAGUGUAGCAGAACAGUAGAUUUUCAUUAGUUUUACAAAUGAUAUGGCUGGGCUCCAAUUUUAGAGGUAGAGAUUUAAACCACUUCCUUUAGUACGGUUAAAUUAUAUUCGUAAUUCAAGAUACAAACAUUAGUAACCAACACCAAAAUCAAACCUGAGAGAUUUAAGUUAUUAAGGAACCGAGUUAUUAAGGAAUUAAGGCUGAAAAGCUACAGAAAAGCUGAAAAUCUUCUCAUUUAAGAACUCAAUAAUCAUGUAUGAAAUCAUAGUUUCAUCACCUAUAUAAAGUGUAAUAUUUCAAAUUCUCUUUCAAAGAAAAUCCCAGUUCCUUCUUAAACUUAUUGUGUCAUCAUGGUUGUUAGGUUUUUCAGUAUACAAUUUUUUUCUAGUUUUAUUGAAAAAAUGGGAAGAAUUCCAAGGAUACUCCCAAAGUAUAAAUAGACGAGAUAAAACAAAACCUGAAAGACUGACAUAAAAAAUAAGGAGUUCUAUAUCAGCUAUUUAAAUAUACAGUACAUAAGUUAUGUAACUACAAAUACAGGAAAUCUGUUUUCUACAAAAUAAUUUCUACAAAUGUGAUUUAGGAAUGACAUGAGAACAAGAAGGUUGUCAGGUAUUUUGCCUCCUUUUCUGUAUACUAUGUUUGCAAAGUAUUUUAUAUAAUUUUAUUGUAGCUUGAUUAAUUUGUUUGCUAUUACAUAUUGGCUGCAAAAAACAGUCUUCCAUCCUCCUCGGUCAUCAAGUGUCUUUGAGUCAUCUCUCAGCUAUAUGGAUUUUUAGCAUGCAGUAAUAGUUCAUUUCUAGAUCAGUAUCACUUUCCAAGUUCAUAUACUUUGUCACUAUUUUUUUCCGUAAUCAUUCAAAGUCUUGUCUCAUGAUCCUGUCUCAUGGUCCCUUCUUAAGUAUAUUAUGUUAAGAUAUUUGCCAUUUCCAUGCUUAAAAUGGAUGCAUCCGUGCUUCCAUUAUAAAAUCAAGGAACAAUGAAAGACUUGCUGAAAUAAAUGCUUAUACAUGCACACACAUUUAUGUAUGUAAAUAUUUCCUAUUGGAGAUAGUGCAUAAAUAAAUAUAUAAGGAGAAAUCUUAACAUGUGAAUUUAGCUUUGAAUGAAUUAUAUUGGUCACCUAGAAAAAUGCUGAAGCCUUGGCUUUCAAAGUUGCUAAUAUAUAAGUGCCUAAAUCCCAUUGAAACAUAAUGUUGGUCUAGUCUCUCCUAGACAGGCACACAAUGAAAUCCACUUUAUGGCAUUUUCAGAAAAGUGUUGACUGAGAAAACUUAACCGGAGAAGACAAGGGUGUUAGUAUUUAUGUUGCAUGCACCUCCUUGCUUUCGUAAAAGUUCUAUAUCAUCAGGGAAAAAGAGUGAAAAAUGAAACCCUGUAUAAAUAAAGCAGGUCAUACAAUGUGAGAAUAGUAAAGCUUACUUGAUGUUGGAAACUCCUUUAGAAAUGUCAUCUAAUAGCUAGAUAUACCCUUCAAGACACAAUUAUAACUGAAAGAUUAUGUGUAUACUGGAGGAAUAGGGUCAAAUUCUAAAAUUGUCUAUUAAAAAAUAAAUAAUGAUAAAUUCAAACCAUAUUAAAGUAUUAUAAUUGAACUGUUUAAUUUUAAGUAAUUAUAUUCUGUAUUUACUCAGUGGAAAUAAUAGCCUAGUCCACUGUACUGCAAACAGUAAAGAAGACUUUUGCUUGGUAUCACACAAUUGUAGGAUAUCUUAACGUCAUCUAUAAAACUCAAAAUAUUAAAAUAAAAGGGGUUGAUGCUGAAAGUAAACAAUUUGCCUUCCCUAUGAGUAUUUUUCAAUUAUUAUGAAGCCACUUUUUAAAAAACAGGAUGCAGUUCAAGCAAGCUAGUUCAAACAGACAAGCUAGUUCAAGUAACUUCAAGUUCACACAAGUUCAUUUAUCUGUAAAGAGAAUAUUCAAAACUGGAAUUUGACCACACACUAUAAGUUAAAUUGAUCUUAUUCUAUUACAUCUUUUCCAUUUUAUGGGAAGAAGAUUCGGCUUGUUAAAUUAACACAGCUACAUGUAGUCUGAAUAGCAUUUUAGUAAAUUACCGUGUAUUAGCUGAGCUGGUAGUGUUAGUUUCAUGCAUUUUACCUCAUGUUUGUCUUAAGCUAAAACUAAGAAAGGUAGUUACUGACCGUUUUGGUUUGACUGGUGCAAUGUGUGUGAUGUAUAGCCAUGUUGACAAUGUGUUUAUUUCUGAUAUAUUUUUAAAGAUGAGGUUUUGCUAUCACAGUGCAUUGCCAUAUUGUUCGCAGUUUUGAUUUCUUUUAGUCUUUCUCCCAUGGGUGUACUGUUAUGUAUAUUCUUUUUUUUUUUUCUGGAUGAUAGUGUGAACAACCACUCCCAACCAUUUUUCUCUGUUCCACGAAAUAUGUUCUUUCAGUUUGUGAUGUCUUCUCUGCAGCACCAUUUACAAAUCUCAGGAAGUCCAUUUUGUAAACUAUCCCAGUGUAAAACCUUUUCCAUCUUGAAGGAAAGAAAACACUCUAAGAAAUGUUAGUACCAUAUCCUUCUCUUUCUCUUUAUUUUUAUGCUGGCAAUAGUCUCUUGAAUCUAAAAAUGAUGUAACCAAUGGGAGAUGUCUUAAAAAAAAAAAAAAAGAAAAGAAAUAGAGAAAGGUAUGAAGAAGAAUUAGAAGAAUUAAUUACAAUAACAAGAAUAAAGUAUUAGAAUAAUUAGAAAAAGAGUAGGAAGAAUUGUUGCUUAUACACAUUCACAGAUGUACAGACACAUUCAGGACAGAUAAAUGCCUUAGUCACCGAAUAAAAAUGUACUGUCCAUGUUAAAAUCCAAAAGAUAGCUGUAAUACCUGGGCUUUAUAGAACAUUAUGCUACGAACAAGAAAUUGGCCUUUUUGUGUUUUCUUCUCUUCUACUUUAUGUGCAAUCUCCCUGCUAUCACAAAGACAUUCCAGCUGAGGGAGCACAGCUGAAGAGCUAAGUAACACGAAGGACAAAACCUGCACCAUUCAAAACUCUUCCUAACACAGAAACCUGUAUCUGAUCAGGAAGUCUCUUAUCUCCUCAUUCUUGACUCAACGUUUGAUGUGAAAUCCUGGACUUCUGUCUCCAUUGCUCAUCAUUACCUCAGCAUCAUCUCUCUUUACUCUUUGAUGAUGAUAUUACAUCUUUAUCACUGCUGCCUUUCAUUUCUGUCCACAGUGGGUUUAGUUUUGUUCCCUUCUCUCCUCCAAAUUCAUUGAAAAUGCUGAAAUCCUAUCAAUUCACUGACCUUGUGUUACCCUUGCAUCCACGUGGCUCUUUCCCGUCUAUCACUUCAGAGCUGUAUUAACCUUAUGUUGCCUAUAAACAUUAAGAUUAAAACAUAUGGUCACAACAUAUCUUAAUUAGCUUUAAUUUAUGCAACACAACAAAAGCUAUAAAGAUGUAUUGAGAUGGACUGGAGUACAGGCUUACUAGGGAUUUUUGAUUUGUAUUUUAAUGACUGUGCACCAGUGUUCUCUGGACCACCUACCUCUGUAUUGUCAUGCCUGCUCCUGCUAUAGUCAUACCCCAAUGUGCCAUAAACAGAAACUCGCCUCCACUCCUUUUCUUCUCCUAGUGAUACCUGAAUCAUUGUCAAACUAAGUCUUGCUUCAGGCACUCCUGUGUUUUAUCCUAUGCUGUAUUUGUAUUAGCAUGUUCCUCCAUAAAACAUAAAUUGCUGUUGUAGCCUCCUUUACAUGACUAUUUAAACACGUUGAGCUCCAUAGUCUAGCAAACACCUGCCAAUGAUGUGGCAGAGCUAUCAUCAGAAAGGUAAGAGAAUCAGCUACCAGGAGAAGCAGGAGUUGCUGCUUCCCUCCAUUUUCUUUCCCAGGAAACGGAAUUGUGCUGAUAUGGAAUCUCCCAACAAAGUCACUAUAGGAAAAAAAGGGAAGCUGCCAUGACCUUCAAGCAACAAAUUGUAACUAUGAGAGACGAUCUAAAGAGCCCAUGAUAAAAAAUGGAAGGAACAAGAUUGCUCAGAUUUCAUUCCAAAGUAACAGGCCUGACCAACACCGUGCAGCAGCAUUGCAUCUCUUCAUUCUCAGAUAAGGGAAGGCUCGACUUCAAUCCUUCUUCAUUCCAUGAAGCAUGAUACCACAACUAUUCUUGUCUAGUUCCUGAAUCAAGAUCGUAUCAUCCAAUUUGUGAAGGUGGGCUCAGCCCCUCUGCUGCUGAUGACAAGAAAUGGGCUGAUUAUUCAGAGACAAUGCUCUUCAUGACAGACGUGUUAUCAUUUUUGAAAAUCCCACCUUCAGUUAUGAUGGUAAUAAGAGAGUUUAGUAUAUGAUGGAGAACUUGGUCUGGUUAAGACCUAACAAUGUAUCUGUGUUGUCUGUAUCAGUCUCAGAAAUAACAGAGUAGUUAAUUUAAUUUAAAAUAAGUUCUAUCCCUCCAUUUGAAUUUUCUUCAGCAUUCUUGAGCCAUGUUCAUUGAUAAACACCUAUCUGAAGUAUUUCUUGUUGAAUGGCAUGGCUCAAAUGAUAUUUAGAUUGAACAUGAAGCUCUGAAGAACUAAAUUAUUGUACCCUUCACCACUCCCACCACGCCAAUAUUAAUUAAUAUUUUAAAGCUCCUCAAGCCUCUCAGGGACUGUUAUCCAGCUUGGACCUGACUUGUCAGUGAUGAAUACCAGCUGAGUCAGAAAAUAAAAACUUUGCACCUGAAUAUUGCUAAAAUAUUUUCUCAGUGUGAAGAACAACCUGAGUCUAUAGCCACAUGGAUCAUUCUACUGCUAGAGGAGAUAAAACUCUAAAAUUCCAGCUAGCCAGGUUUAUGGCAUACUUGUAUUUUCACUAUGUGAGAACAUGCCUUAUUAUCCUCAAUAGCAAAGUACAUAGAAGAGAAAGUGAAAAGCAAAGGAGGCUGUAAAAGGAGAAAAAAAAAAACCAUCCAAAACCCCAACAGUGGUAAGUAAAUAGGCUAUUCUACACUUAUGCAUAAAAUUAAUGUACAGUAUACCACAGAGUGGAGCCACUUUUGUUCCUUUUGAUCAAUUUGCAGAUCCUCUAAUGAGUUUAUGGGGUUUGUUUUUAUAUAUGGAUCAGGCAUUGUCUGCUAACAUUUUAGUUAUGCUUGCAUCAUCUAGUUCUAAGAACUAUGAAUUCUCUACAUUCCUAAAUACUUUUGAAAGCUGUUAGCCAGACAGUUCCAACAGUUUCCUCUGCAUUUUAUAGAUCAUUUAGAAAUGGGAACUAUGCUAUGGAGCUACUGUUUAGUCUAGCAAAACCUUUCAUAGCUGUGGCAUCUAGCCAGUAUUGCAAUCAUAGUGCAUUGUUUGAAGGGGAAAAAUGCAAUGAUGUAAUAUAUGGCCACGUUCAAGGACCCAAUCCACAGACGUCUGGAAAAGGACCUUUUAGUGGAAAAGCAGCCCAGAGUUAUUUCUGAGGAGCUUGAAGUUGUCCUUUUUUUCUAUGCCGAUGUCUAAAAUAAUAACAAGCAUUGUGAAGGACAAAGAAAGAACAAAAGCAUAAGCCAGAUUUUUUUCUUUCAUGAUAACAGUAAUGCUUACCUCUACAUCUACUGCUUGAAUGAUAUAUUGUUUGGGGAGAAUACUGUGCUGAUACAGGCUUUUCAUCAUAACAUGUAAUGCUGAUGCUUAUGCAAGCUUCCCCCAAGUCUGUUAUUGAAGUUUCAUAAAAUUCAUAAAUCCAAUAAACACGAUAAGAGAAUAUUACAGCAUUUUCCCUUUGCUGUUUUCAACAGGAAAUACAUUCUAAAUUAAAAAUGUGCAGGAAGCUCAAAUUUGAACAAAAGUCAUGAAUCCCUCUGCUCUCCCCAGUCAUGCAUAUAGUGGAGUUUAAUGCAGACAAAUUUGCAGACUAAUUUGCAAAAAUGUGCAUAUGCUGACAUAUGCAAUCAAUUUUAUAAUAUGGCAUUCUUUCCAUCACUUAAUAUGCAUAUGUAUAUCUCACAGGUACUUGGAUACUCAUGAAGAUAGGAGCUAAUAUGUCCCCAGAGAGCAAUAAUCAAUCGUCAGAUUGCUGAAAACUGCAAAUGUGCCCAAGGUAAUAUUGCAAGUAUUUGGACUGAUAUUGCACAAAGAAGAUGGACAGAGAAAUACAAAGGAAGGUUUUCAUCCAUUUCUGGAACAUUUUAUGCUUGGCAUUACAAAAUGUAUUUCCAUUGCUAUGAUGAUGAACAUAAAUUAAAAAGAUAUAUCAGUUUGCUUUCUAAGGAUGCUGGUAGUGUUUUAUUCUGGGGGAAAAAAAGAUGUGACUGAAACUUUGUGAUACUUAGAAAACAACUGUUCAACCAAAUCAUGGCUAAAGAAACUCUUCGCUUGCUCUAUUUGUGUUUCACUAUUGAGUUUUAUGUCUUUCAAUCACUCAUAAUAAAUGUUAAAACCUGUUAGUCAAAGGUAUGUAGUGUCUCAAAGCCAAAUGUUGCUUCAAGAUCAUCGUGGACGGGUUGGACCCUUACUGGGAUAAAUAUAGCAGAAGCCAAAGGGAAUGAUGGGUACUUGGCAUUUUCCCAAGUCAGUGCCACUGCAGGAAAGUAGGGAAGGGAACAGCCUUGUCUGAGAAACUACAAGAGUGUUGGACUCAUUAAUCCUAUUUUACAUCAGAAACCAAAGCACUGUAAAUAAAGUCCUUCUUCUGAAAAAGUACUUUUGCUGCCAUCAAAAAGAUUUUGAGUGGUAGAGUCAAGCUAUUUGACAUUCUUCUGAUUUAUUAAUAGGUGAUUGUUCAUCUGUAUUGGUUUUCAUGAAAUGGAAUUGGUCUUUCCUUUGGAAUCCAGGAGGUUGCAUGUUUAGUCUCCCACCCAGAAGAAAGUUGCCUUUAACCACUGGGCCAAGUAGUUGGAUUCUUAGUGACUCCUCUCCCUUCAGUUUCCCUCUUGUUCUAAUGAAUGGCUGUCUUUAACAUAGAAGAAAUAGCUCUUAGGAGAGUAAUUUAACAGAAAACUAUGCAAGAACAGCUACAGUGUUGCACUUGCAGGUGAUUAGUUUUAGAAUAAUUAACUAUUUCCAUUAAGUUACUUGAAUUCACAGCUUUAGGUAACACUACCUGAAACCUUCCAGUUAAAGAGUGAGACUCAGUACUGCACUUGGCUUUCCAUAUUUCAGUUCUGCUAUUUCAAUAGAAAUUGGAAGUUUCUGCUUCUGAAGGCUGGAAGAAAAUCCCUACAGAAAAGGAGCUGCUCCCCAGUAUAUGCCUUAGAUAGCUGAGUCUCCCUUCCUCCCAGCUCAGUCACUCUCAUAGAUGACCAAGAUCAAAGGAGGUGGCAGCAAACAGAAGCAGCUGGAGGAAUAAGAGCAUGAGGCAGUGUGGUUAACAGAGGGAAAUGGAAGUACUUUCCUGUCCUAUUAUUACUGCUCUUUCACCAGUAAUGACCAGUGACCAGUAAACCGCCCUGCAUCCAGUGAAGGAAGUGAAGGCUUCUUUGGGCAGUUCCUUCUUAGACGUCUCAGGUUUUAGUGUAGGACAGGUUUUAGACACUUCAAUAGGACAGUAAGCUUUUAUUGGAAACAUAACUAUCCAGCAUUGUUAUUUCAAUGAAUUCAUAGUCAAAGUUAUUUUCCUUGUGAGUACUUAUUUCUUUUGGUCCAAGUCAAAUCAAACUCAAUUACCUUCCUCUGUGACAGAUUUCAAUAAAUCUUUCUUAUUUCUUUCUGCUAGAAUGGGAAGAUGAAGGGAAGAAUAUAACAUAUUUUAUCUGAAAUCCAUUUCUAAUUCAAUUAGAGCUUCAUCCUGGCCCCAUUGAACUCACUGGGCUUUUUGCCACUGACUUUAAUAAGGUUAGAAUCAGACUCAUAACACUCAGUUUCUGAUUUCUUCCAGAUAAUGAAUUAAAAUAUUAAAUAUCUUUGGGUGAAUGCUUCCUUCUUGUCUACCUGCCCCUUGAUAUUGUGUUCUUGCUUUUUCUUCAGUCCUUUAUUAAGUUUUAAUUAAGAGUUCCUUUGUGUGUAGAUAAGGGAGGUGUGUUUUAUUCUAAUACUUUUCAAGAUAUGCAUCAGUGUUGAUGUUUUCUAAAGAAAGAAAAAAAAUGAAUGUAAUUUUUUUUCCGGUAGAGGCCUAAAUGUAUUUUCUGAGGAUUAAUUGGGAAAUGAGAUGACAAAUAAGGGAUAUGAGGGCAAAUAUGCACUCUUUCUCCUAUUUUAGUUUCUUUUUAAAAAGAAUGCAUUUGAUUAAUAAGAGUAUUGGUUGUCAUCAAGGCACUUCAGAGAAAAUACACUUCCUUUCUAUUUCACAGAACGUCCAUUGUGAAAACAAGAUUAAUAUUACUGACAGUUUGUUUCAUUUCUGAAGCCUCGUUACAUUCUUAUCAAUUCAUUCUUCUGUUUAAACCUGUCAGAUCACUGCUUAUUAUUUUACAUCACUGACAAAUAAAAGUAAUGACAUUUGAUCCAAUUUGUAGCUUUCGUUGCUAGAACUGACAAUACAGGUGAAAAGAAUGUGUUACCAGUGAUAAGAACACAAAGGAAGAGAUGUGGGCAAAGCAACACCUCUAAAACCAUACUUAAAUGCUGGUAUGUUCUUUUAUGAAGAUAUUUACUUCAGUGAUGAAAAGAAGAAGAGAAGGAGAAUUAUUUGGCUUGAUUUUGAUUCAGAUUUUUUUCUAGUAACCCUGUAAUUUUUGGGUGCGGCAUAUGUACCGGUAAUACCACCUGGCUAAUUCUUGAAUGAACGUAUAUUGCCCUUCUUUUAGAUAUGCCUUUGAAAAUAAUAACUUUGGUCUGAGUGAAGACUUUGCACUGCCCCUAUUGACUUAGGCCUGAUGUACAAGGUCAAAAAAACACAUUAGUUGUCUCUCUGCUGUGCAGACACAGCAUAUUGGUAUAAGCAAGAUGAUAGUUGAAGACCUUUCUGGGCAUCUAAAAAUUAAUGAAAAAAAUCCCAAAUUUUUAGUUGGAUUUAAUAACUGGAGGGGGACAGAAGAGGAGAAAGUAAAAUCCCAUCCCAUCUACUACUUGCCAAGUCAGUUAUGUUAUUUCUAAUGGUGUGUAAUUAAGUCUAAUAACUUUUUUUAUUCUAAAAAAAAAUAAAUUACACAGUGUAGGAUGUCAGAUGCAUGACAGCAAUUCUCACUACUUGUAUGAAUUAAACUGUCAGCUGCAUAGAAGGUUUCUAAUGAUAAAACUGUCUUGUGAAUUCAUUAUGGCCUUGUUUAUCGAUUUCUGUGGGUCUCUAAGGAACACUACAGACUGAUCUGAAAUUUCUGUCUGAGAUGUAUAUAGAAACUGAAAACUUCAGAACUACUGAAAACAAUCUAUUUAAAAUACAAAUACCGUUAUCAAAGUGUUGAGUUUAGAACUAGCUUAAAGAAUGCAUAGAAUGUAUCAUUACAUUAAUGUUUUCCUCUGCUAAGGGUGUUGGAGCACCCUCUUGCACGUUUUAAGUUCUUUGCUGUAGAUAUAGCAAGGGCAAAAAAGAGUUUUUCUCAAUACAGCAUUGUGCUGUGAAAUCCUCUUCAGCAAUGUAUUGUAUCCUGACUAAUACUUUUCCCUUCUAUCUCAAAAUAAAUAGCAGGGGAUGUUAUCUAUGCACUGUACCUCCUGGACAACUUCCAGGGUUUGAAUUUUGGCCAGUGUCACUGUGAGACUCUAGGGGCAGGAAUUUAGCAUUUGUUUAGUUAAAUGAAAUGGGAGCCAUAGAUCAAGAUGUUAUUUAUAACCCAAUGACCCAGGGUAAUUCUAGUAGCUAAGCCAUAUAUGCCUUAAGCAAGCAGUCGUUAAACCUUUCUCAAAGAGCUUUGAUGUCUAUUGAUCUUGCUGAUUAUAGCCAUGUCUUUCAUCUGGAAAGCAGUAAAUGGAAAUCCUUGGACAAAUUGAAAAUCACAUUAAAGCAAAUUAACGUCUUUUAUUUAAACAAAUAGAUGUGAAGCUUUAUAUUGCCUGUAUCGGCUUCAACCAACAGCACGUAAAAUGCAUGAAUUCUCUUUUUUCACCUUGACCAGGUGGUGGAAAGCUUUCAUUUUCUCCAUCAAGUUUAAGAGACUAAAGUUUGAAUGAAACAGUACUGACUAGAUAUCAGUUUAAACAAGAAUGAAAUAUGGAGUAUUGAGAUAUUGAGUAAAACUGAAAACAGGCUUUGUACUUCAUUUGUUCAACAAGCAUGCAAUUAGGUUAGCUUUGGUGUUAGUAAAUACUAGAUUCUAAGCUGAAGUAAUCUGUGUGGCCAGAACUGAUUAGAUGAAGAAGGAAAAUAAAUCCAAGUCCCGGACAUUUAUCUCAAAUGAGGUGUUCCUUGAAGUCACUCAUGACUAUGUGAGUUUUGGAUAUGAUUAAAGUUAUGCUCUACAGCAAAGCAGAUUUUCUUUUGCCAGAAACCACAAAGAUUUGUAAAAUUAUAUGUUUAUUUUAUAGCAAACAAUAAUGUGAUUAUUAUUUUUUAAUUCAACAAGGAAAAAACAGAUCUAAACUACAUCAUUCUAUUAUAAUAUUCAGGUGUUUCUAAGAGAAAGUCUGAGAUGAUUCAUACUAUUGAUUCAAACCUGAGUUCUUUUCCAUAUUUUGAGAGAAUCCUUGGAUGAGCAAGUUUGAACUUUCACAUAUGCAACGUAAAUCUGUUCCUCUGGAAAAGUGUAAUAUUUUGAUGUAGAUGUUUAAGAUCUGCUUCCUUUAACUCUAAAAUUAAUUGGUAUGAUUGUUAUAAGCAGUUGCUUAAAGCUAAACCUGAGUGGUCAAACAGUAUUGCAGUAAUGGCUCUGGUAAAAUAUCUGAAGUAAAAGUGAAGGUAAACCCACUUCUUCUUCAGCUCAAAACUUAGCUUAAAUUAGUCUGUUUCACUAGCUUGUGAGAGGAUGGUGACAUGCUUGCAAGCAUUUAGAGAUCAGUGAACGAACUGAUCUGUUAAUAGGAAAUUCUAUAGAAAUAAUGGUAAACUUACAUUGAUUUUUUUUUUUUAAGAGCUAGAAUAUAACUUUUCAAAGAUCUUUAUUAUAAAGUACGUGGCAGCCUGGAUGAUAUUUUUUAGUGGAACAAGUAAUAAUUAAUUGCAAAAGAAAAUGCUUCAGGUUUUGAACUGUUCUUGUCCAUAUGAAUAAACAAAGUAAAAUAUAAAGUACUGCUAAUGGUAAUUUCAUAAAAUGUGAGUGAUGGAUAAUGCUAGAGAUAUUGUAGAAGGCUGAUCUGUGCAGUGUUUUAUCAGAGAUACAAAUCUUAAAAAAUAAAAGUAGAAAAUGUCUGUUCAGAUUUUUAUUUUAUAUAAAACUGAUCAUACUACAGAUAUAUUUUUAUGCGUAAUUUAAUAACACUAUAGUAAUUCUAUUUAUUUACUAUCUGCCUGACAAAGUUUGUACUGACAUAAUGUUCACAUUUCACAUCUGCAAGAUCUGAGAACUUAAGACUAUUACUAUUUAUGCUAACAUCUUUCUACUGCUUUUCACUGUUUAUGAACUGAUUGUACUUUCUUAUGCAAACUGUGAAAACUGUUUAAAAAGAAAGAAAACCACAAAUCUGUGCUAUAGUCUUUUAACUUGGCCUGUGCAGUCAGACUCCAUGCUCAUCUCUCCAAAAGCAUCAAAGUGUGUCUUUUCAUUGAUCAAAUCAGAGCCUACACUGUGUUUCUGAAAUAUGCACUGAACAGCAUAUAUUUCUGUGGCUUCACUUGUUCUUGCUGUUUUUUUUCAU